GAAGGCUUCAUGUGUUCAGAACUGCUCAGAACACUGUUUCGUAUCAGAUUAUGCCACCCAGAUUUUGUGACAUGAGAGAAAGCAGAGAACUGUUUUCUAGUAUUUGAGUUUGUAAUAACCUUGCAAUGCACGAGAUCUUUGGACCACUAUCUCCAACACUAACGCCGCACAAAAGAGAUCGGAAGGUCUAACUUCUUUGGCGGCAAUCUGGUGGGUUGCCUGGAAUGAAAGAAAUCACUUUAUCUUCAACCUAAAGGCCCCUUGAUGCGGCUCGAGCUCUUGACCGCGCCAACCUCCUAGUGACAUCUUGGAUGAAUCUACUGUGAUCGGCUCCUGCGCCUGUUCUUUUCUAUUUUACUUUUACUUUGUUUCUUUCAGUUUUUUUCUUGUUUUGGUUUUCUGUUUUUCUACUUUCCUGUCUCUUUCUCCGGAAGCCCCAGCUGCUUCCAAUCUGUACGCCUAGUUCAUUUUGCUUAAUGAAUGAAGCGGAUAGCUCGUUACCUUUUCUCAAAAAAAGAGUUUGUAAUAACCUGGCUGCUUAGAUAACACGGACUUGCUCGACUUUGUUGUUUAAAGCUCCACUGUUCGUCCAAUUACUGUCUGACUGACAGUUCGAUCUAUUGAUCUAGUUCAUCUUAAUGUGCUAUUCAGGCGCUCCGCAGUUCGCACCUUUAGUUUAUCCUCUUCAUUAAUAGUGCAUUGGCAGCUGAAACACUCGCGUGUUUGCGAAGAGAAAAGUAGAACAGACUGCAAUCGGAGCGCACCCUUUCUUCCUAUGCGUAUAAACCGAAAAUUCAAGUUUUCUACACGUCCAAGAUUGCACAACCACCGAAAAAGACAAGAAUGGAGAAAUAAAAAGCUCACAAUAAUAAUCUCAAACAACUCUACAUAUAAAAUAAAAUAAUUUUACAAAAAAUAUCCAAAACACCAUACAAUGAAAAUCGAAAAAUACCAAAUAAACCUUCAAUCAAAACACCUUAGUAUGAAUGUUCACAAGAGAGAAGAAGAGAUAGAUUAGAGGCCACCCCCC
RNAcentral lists this long non-coding RNA (1030 nucleotides) under Ananas comosus (pineapple). RNAcentral's name for it is "long non-coding RNA (ACOM_LNC011700)". Lineage: Eukaryota; Viridiplantae; Streptophyta; Magnoliopsida; Poales; Bromeliaceae. The record is from RNAcentral.